UCUCUCGUAGUUUAGUGGUCUCGUAGUAUUGGUGCGUAAAGCCAAAGGUUCCGUGUUCGAAUCCCGGCGAGGGUG
This 75-nucleotide transfer RNA is filed under the name Agrilus planipennis (emerald ash borer). It matches the Rfam family "tRNA". Rfam says of the family: Transfer RNA (tRNA) molecules are approximately 80 nucleotides in length. The record is from Rfam by way of RNAcentral. Lineage: Eukaryota; Metazoa; Arthropoda; Insecta; Coleoptera; Buprestidae.